This 478-nucleotide ribosomal RNA is filed under the name uncultured bacterium. RNAcentral describes it as "partial 16S ribosomal RNA". It matches the Rfam family "Bacterial small subunit ribosomal RNA", at positions 28 to 523 of the family's 1533-position model. The record is from RNAcentral.
GACGAACGCUGGCGGCGUGCUUAACACAUGCAAGUCGAACGGUAAGGCCCUUCGGGGUACACGAGUGGCGAACGGGUGAGUAACACGUGGGUGAUCUGCCCUGCACUUCGGGAUAAGCCUGGGAAACUGGGUCUAAUACCGGAUAGGACUCCGGACUGCAUGGUCUGGGGUGGAAAGCUUUUGCGGUGUGGGAUGGGCCCGCGGCCUAUCAGCUUGUUGGUGGGGUGAUGGCCUACCAAGGCGACGACGGGUAGCCGGCCUGAGAGGGCGACCGGCCACACUGGGACUGAGAUACGGCCCAGACUCCUACGGGAGGCAGCAGUGGGGAAUAUUGCACAAUGGGCGCAAGCCUGAUGCAGCGACGCCGCGUGAGGGAUGACGGCCUUCGGGUUGUAAACCUCUUUCAGCACCGACGAAGCGCAAGUGACGGUAGGUGCAGAAGAAGGACCGGCCAACUACGUGCCAGCAGCCGCAGUAA